RNAcentral lists this ribosomal RNA (466 nucleotides) under uncultured bacterium. Its description in RNAcentral is "partial 16S ribosomal RNA". It matches the Rfam family "Bacterial small subunit ribosomal RNA", at positions 29 to 523 of the family's 1533-position model. The record is from RNAcentral.
AGCGAACGCUGGCGGCGUGCUUAACACAUGCAAGUCGAACGGGCAAGAGCCGUAGCAAUACGGAGUUCUGCUAGUGGCAAACGGGUGAGUAAUACAUGGGAAUCUACCUUGGAGUCUGGGAUAACAGUUGGAAACGACUGCUAAUACCGGAUAUAACCGAGAGGUAAAAGAUUUAUCGCUCUAAGAUGAGCCCAUGGAGGAUUAGCUAGUUGUUAGGGUAAAGGCCUACCAAGGCGACGAUCCUUAGCUGGUCUGAGAGGAGGAUCAGCCACACUGGAACUGAGACACGGUCCAGACUCCUACGGGAGGCAGCAGUGGGGAAUAUUGGACAAUGGGCGAAAGCCUGAUCCAGCGACGCCGCGUGGGUGAUGAAGGCCUUCUGGUUGUAAAGCCCUUUCAGUGGGAAAGAUAAUGACGGUACCCACAGAAGAAGCUCCGGCAAACUUCGUGCCAGCCGCCGCCGUAA